This 3687-nucleotide long non-coding RNA is filed under the name Exaiptasia diaphana. Its description in RNAcentral is "uncharacterized LOC110240865". Lineage: Eukaryota; Metazoa; Cnidaria; Anthozoa; Actiniaria; Aiptasiidae. The record is from RNAcentral.
UACCUUACAUGUAUAAUAUUGUUAUUGAUCUCAAGGGUCAACCACCAAUGUUUCCUGGAGGUUUUGCUGCUGGUCAGCCUCAACAACAACCUGCAGAUCCCUUUGGACCAAUUCCAGGAUCACAGGCGAGAUUUUAAAUCAAUCCUAUGACGUUCUGCAGUACUGUACAGCAGUGAGUGCAUGAUAAUAAUAUAAGAGGGGGAGGGUGAAAAAUAUUAAUGAAUAAUGCAGAAGUAUUACAUACCACCCCUACUGACUUCAGAACCAGUGUUGAUAUCCCACAAUCCUUUACAAGCUUAAUNCCAAUUAUAACAUUGGUCCAGCAAUAACAAUAGACAAUUAUAGUUGCUUGUUUGACAAGUAUGGUAAGAAUGAGAGUGUAUAUUUGUAGGAUUUAUGUGGAACGUCACAAGACUAUAAUAGUUUGAGAACUGACGGUUUUAUUUUUGUGUGAUAUUGCUAUCGUUAUUGCUGCAUCGAUAUUAUUUGUUUCAUCUAUAGNUAAAANCAAAAAACAAAAUUAUGUUUCACNUNAAAGGACCGUCGUCAACCAGCAUUCAAUGCGGUCCUGUUUUAGAUUUUCCAUAUAUGUAAAAUGAGGUGACAUCUAGUAUUCAUUCGCAAUCCGUUUCCAUCAGUCAGUUUUAAGGUCGCAAUUUUACAAUAUUUCCAUUCAUAGAGUAUAAAGGGAUAAUAAAGAGUACGUUUUUGCUUAUAUUACGAUGUGUUUUAUUUUGAAACAUAAUCAAAAGCUCAAAAUGGAUGCUGGUUGACAAUGGCGAUUAAGUGGUGUAAAGAUGAAAGAUCAUUCCCAGUACUAUUACAACGAACUUCCUUCUAGUGUCCAGACUCCCCUGUAGAAAUAUCAGCCACAGGCAUCCCAUCCACACAACAGCGAUCCCAUGAGCUGUUGUCAAGUCAGUUAAUGUUAUCUUACGCGGUGUAUGUAUGCUCUUUUAUAAUCCAUUAUCGUGAUAUCAUAGCUUAGCAACUUGUUGAUAGAGAAUUGUGGGAAAUGUUGUUCCCAGGCUCUUACCUCCUCGGCGAGGAUGGACGGAUGGAAUGGGGAGCGGCACUGUCAAACACCUUAAGUUGACAAUCUGUGUGCAAACCUUUUAUUACAGAGUUGAAAGCAUUCUCUGUAGAUUUAGGUACACAGGAAACCCAAAUAUUGUCCCCACCGGGUAGGUUUAAAAUUGCUCGGAGCGCAUUCUCUGGUUGGGUCGUUCUCAAAGGCCCAGUGUGCACCAUUAUGCUUUGGGGCCCUCGAGCGGCCAUUUUUAGUUUACCGAAUGUAGUCUAUAAAUUGUACUGUGCGUUUCGAAUCUUUGAUCUUCUCACUUUUCUAAGCACGUGAAACGAUCUUACAAAACAAACUUACUUAGUUUUAUGGAUAUAUUUGGAUACUAGAAGUAUUAUGGUGUAAAUCAUAACAAUAACAGAGGCUCGCAAAGUAUAAUGGUGCAAACUGGGCCUUUCAAAGAACAAUGGCACUUAUUGUGUUUCGAACAAGCCUAUUGGAUUAUAUCUUCCGAGAGUUGAAAGGCCGCCACAUUGUCGGGUGAGCAAAGGGUUCGUUCGUCCCAGUCAUAUCCUCCCGAGGAGGCAGAAAGAAAUCCUCUGCUACCAUGUUUGGGCUUCUUGUGGUAUAAGAACCUAUAGUUUCGUCACAUUCAAAAAAAGUUAAAUAACGGAAUCCUAGAGCUAAUAGUAGACUGCUGAAGCCUUUAUGUCACCAACGUGGUUUGCAAUGCAUUUUGGGAUCAUUUUCGUGAGAAAACAAUAGAAAUCCGCCAUUUUCAGAGAGACAUAUCCCACAUGCAUGGCAAUGGCAUACGACGUAAAAGCUUCAGAGGUCUAUAGUCACCUGAUUGGUAAUGGUAAUUAAUUAUCCAUAUUUAGCACUCCGUUAAUUAAAUUCAUGAGUCUAAAUUAAACCAAUCUCGUAUCCCUAACCUUCCUUAUUCUUGGCGAGCGCUGAGAAUGUAUGNAGACGGCACUGCCCUGAAAGGGGCUCGGGCUACGAGAUUGAAAUUAAAAAGUAAGGCUUGNGUUAAACGUCCAACUGGCUAGCUUGUGUACAGAAUCGUUCCCACCCUUCCCUCCAUACGAGAGGGAUGGUAACGGAUGUAAACACGGUCGACCUAAAGUCGUACAAGUAAAAUUUUGAUCGACCCAAUGAUUUAGUUCUGCAGGCCAUGUCAAAUCUCAUGUUAGAUCCGUCAACGGAAAACUCAAUUUGCUAAUNUGAUAUGUGGUACGCNUAACGAAGUCAAUAUUUUAGUAUGUCAAUCUUUUAUUACUAAAAUAUGAUAAGUACACGCCUCUCAAAGCUGUACUAACCGUUAAGGGCCUUGUUUAAACAGACGAAGUUAUUGGGUCAAACGUCGUAUUUUUACANGAAUUCUAAAGAGUAGAAUACGGCUUAUGUAAGUACGACGUUUGGUCCAAGCCUAGAGUAGUUUUCAUAAACCCAUAAGAUUCACUUUAGUGUACCACACAUUAUUUUGCACGUUUUCGGGGUUGUUUCAAGAGUCAAUAAUCUAAGUUUGGUAGUGAAUUUAUGUAGUGAAAUAUAAAUCGGCGCCAUUUUCUAAAACAAAACAUGACGGAAUCUCCAUUGCCGAUGUAGCCAGGCGUUCCUAGCCGCUCCGAGAGAAUUUGANAACGCUUGGCUACACAGGCUACUGCUUAGAUAAAUUUUCAAGUAGUUGAUUCUAUCAGUUGAAAAAUGGCGUGUGUUAAAUAAGGCCUUUUAGGAGAAUUUAUUUUGCUAUAGUUUAGAAAGUUGUGACGUAAUGUGCAUGGCGGAUGUGACGUAAUGUGGACCACGCGAAAUUGAUUCAUUGGAAAGUGAGUGGUCGAAGUGAACUGGAUUCAACCAGACNAUUGAAUUUNCUUUCCUAAUGCAUUAAAUAGUGUUGGUAACAAGUCUGCUACUAAAAAUCAUGGGAUGGACUUUCGCACAAACNGGUCACGUGACUUGAUCACGUGGCCUGGUGUAAUAAUUGGUAGUGUAGAUUUUCAGUGCCCAGUCCCCUGUUCGAACCUAAAAUUCAAACGUAUGUUUGUAUUUUCGACGCUGGUUGUAGUGAAACAAUAUGGCUGCGGUUUUAGGUUUAAAGAGGUUAAUGUAUGUCGAAACUAUAAACGACCCACAAUCUAACCAACCAUACAAUGAAGAAAUUUGCUAGCAGUGCGGUUGUUCUGACAACAAAGAGCCAGUUUACAAUACGACAUUAGGAUAAGCUCACAAAAAAACAAUAGAUUCGUGGUUUAAACGAAUGAAGCAACCUUAUGAUUGGGCUUAUGUUUGUUGCUAUGCUUAUGUCGAUGCACUCCAUUUUCUUUGGGGAUUCUUUUGUUUUUUUCUGCUUCUGCUAAUGUCGUAGUAAUGUCGUUUCUACCUGUAGCAAUCGCGCUGAAAUAAUCCUUAUCGAAAGCGAUUUGAAGUACUCGACUNAAAACGACGAUUGCUCGAUCNUCGCACUGCAAAUAUUGGGAGUGAAAAGAGUNAUUUAGAAGGCAAAGUGUGAGGUAUUAACCGAGUCAGGAAAGAUUUGAUUCGUAUGUCAUUAGUUAAUUCCAUUUAGUUGUAUAUAAGCAUUGAAUAAACCUAAUGUAAAAUAUGAAAAUACUCAAUGAUUUUUUUAAUGGAAAAGUAGAAUAAACGCACCAUAAUAAUGA